Molecule: unclassified non-coding RNA, 400 nt
Filed under: soil metagenome
Description: partial contains 5.8S ribosomal RNA, internal transcribed spacer 2, and large subunit ribosomal RNA
Rfam family: 5.8S ribosomal RNA (bases 1-122)
Source: RNAcentral
GAUGAAGAACGUAGCGAAAUGCGAUACUUGGUGUGAAUUGCAGAAUCCCGUGAACCAUCGAGUCUUUGAACGCAAGUUGCGCCUCAAGCCAUUAGGUUGAGGGCACGUCUGCCUGGGCGUCACAUAUCGUUGCCUGAUGCCAGUUUCCUCGUGAUGGGUGACUGUGCAGGGCGAAUGAUGGCUUCCCGUGAGCAUGGUUGCCUCAUGGUUGGUUGAAAAUUGAGUCCUUGGUAGGGAGCGCCGUGAUAGAUGGUGGUUGAGUGACGAACGAGACCCAAUCAUGUGAGACCCCUACCGAAUUUGGCCUUCAUGACCCACAUGCGUCUUUGGAACGCUCAUGACGAGACCUCAGGUCAGGCGGGGCUACCCGCUGAGUUUAAGCAUAUCAAUAAGCGGAGGA